Molecule: non-coding RNA, 45 nt
Organism: Schistosoma haematobium
Lineage: Eukaryota; Metazoa; Platyhelminthes; Trematoda; Strigeidida; Schistosomatidae
Source: Rfam
GUCCAACUGAAGAGCCCCAUAUAGGAGGAAAUGCGUGUCCUGGAU